CAGCCGCCGCGGUAAUGCGAAGGGUGCAAGCGUUACUCGGAAUUACUGGGCGUAAAGCGUGCGUAGGUGGUGGUUUAAGUCCGUUGUGAAAGCCCUGGGCUCAACCUGGGAAUUGCAGUGGAUACUGGGUCACUAGAGUGUGGUAGAGGAUAGUGGAAUUUCCGGUGUAGCAGUGAAAUGCGUAGAGAUCGGAAGGAACAUCUGUGGCGAAGGCGACUAUCUGGGCCAACACUGACACUGAGGCACGAAAGCGUGGGGAGCAAACAGGAUUAGAUACCCGUGUAGUCCCUGUCUCUUAUAC
This 301-nucleotide ribosomal RNA is filed under the name uncultured bacterium. RNAcentral's name for it is "partial 16S ribosomal RNA". It matches the Rfam family "Bacterial small subunit ribosomal RNA", at positions 509 to 807 of the family's 1533-position model. The record is from RNAcentral.